RNAcentral lists this ribosomal RNA (615 nucleotides) under uncultured bacterium. Its description in RNAcentral is "bacterial SSU rRNA". The stretch from base 1 to 518 matches the Rfam family "Bacterial small subunit ribosomal RNA", at positions 338 to 873 of the family's 1533-position model. The record is from RNAcentral.
CCUACGGGAGGCAGCAGUGGGGAAUCUUGCGCAAUGGGCGAAAGCCUGACGCAGCCAUGCCGCGUGAAUGAUGAAGGUCUUAGGAUUGUAAAAUUCUUUCACCGGGGACGAUAAUGACGGUACCCGGAGAAGAAGCCCCGGCUAACUUCGUGCCAGCAGCCGCGGUAAUACGAAGGGGGCUAGCGUUGCUCGGAAUUACUGGGCGUAAAGGGAGCGUAGGCGGAUAGUUUAGUCAGAGGUGAAAGCCCAGGGCUCAACCUUGGAAUUGCCUUUGAUACUGGCUAUCUUGAGUGUGGGAGAGGUAUGUGGAACUCCGAGUGUAGAGGUGAAAUUCGUAGAUAUUCGGAAGAACACCAGUGGCGAAGGCGACAUACUGGCCCAUUACUGACGCUGAGGCUCGAAAGCGUGGGGAGCAAACAGGAUUAGAUACCCUGGUAGUCCACGCUGUAAACGAUGAGUGCUAGUUGUCGGCAUGCAUGCAUGUCGGUGACGCAGCUAACGCAUUAAGCACCUCCGCCGUCGGGGAGGUACGGUCGGCGAAGAAUUAAAACUUAAAAUUAGUAAGUUAGUACGGCGUGAGACGUCGCCGACGGACGACGACGAGGGGAGGUUAGG